AGUGAACGCUGGCGGUAGGCCUAACACAUGCAAGUCGAACGGCAGCACAGUAAGAGCUUGCUCUUACGGGUGGCGAGUGGCGGACGGGUGAGGAAUACAUCGGAAUCUACUUUGUCGUGGGGGAUAACGUAGGGAAACUUACGCUAAUACCGCAUACGACCUACGGGUGAAAGCAGGGGAUCUUCGGACCUUGCGCGAUUGAAUGAGCCGAUGUCGGAUUAGCUAGUUGGCGGGGUAAAGGCCCACCAAGGCGACGAUCCGUAGCUGGUCUGAGAGGAUGAUCAGCCACACUGGAACUGAGACACGGUCCAGACUCCUACGGGAGCCAGCAGUGGGGAAUAUUGGACAAUGGGCGCAAGCCUGAUCCAGCCAUACCGCGUGGGUGAAGAAGGCCUUCGGGUUGUAAAGCCCUUUUGUUGGGAAAGAAAAGCAGCAGGCUAAUACCCCGCUGUUCUGACGGUACCCAAAGAAUAAGCACCGGCUAACUUCGUG
RNAcentral lists this ribosomal RNA (492 nucleotides) under uncultured bacterium. Its description in RNAcentral is "partial 16S ribosomal RNA". It matches the Rfam family "Bacterial small subunit ribosomal RNA", at positions 29 to 507 of the family's 1533-position model. The record is from RNAcentral.